RNAcentral lists this ribosomal RNA (496 nucleotides) under uncultured bacterium. Its description in RNAcentral is "partial 16S ribosomal RNA". It matches the Rfam family "Bacterial small subunit ribosomal RNA", at positions 29 to 507 of the family's 1533-position model. The record is from RNAcentral.
AUGAACGCUGGCGGCGUGCCUAAUACAUGCAAGUCGAGCGAACAGACGAGGAGCUUGCUCCUCUGACGUUAGCGGCGGACGGGUGAGUAACACGUGGAUAACCUACCUAUAAGACUGGGAUAACUUCGGGAAACCGGAGCUAAUACCGGAUAAUAUAUUGAACCGCAUGGUUCAAUAGUGAAAGACGGUUUUGCUGUCACUUAUAGAUGGAUCCGCGCCGCAUUAGCUAGUUGGUAAGGUAACGGCUUACCAAGGCAACGAUGCGUAGCCGACCUGAGAGGGUGAUCGGCCACACUGGAACUGAGACACGGUCCAGACUCCUACGGGAGGCAGCAGUAGGGAAUCUUCCGCAAUGGGCUAAAUCCUGACGGAGCAACGCCGCGUGAGUGAUGAAGGUCUUCGGAUCGUAAAACUCUGUUAUUAGGGAAGAACAAAUGUGUAAGUAACUAUGCACGUCUUGACGGUACCUAAUCAGAAAGUCACGGCUAACUACGUG